AACGCACAUUGCACCCUCUGGUAUUCCGGGGGGUAUGCCUGUUCGAGCGUCAUUUCAACCCUCAAGCACUGCUUGGUAUUGGAUGCCACCAGAUGUGGUGCAUCCCAAAAGCAUUGGCAGUGGCGUCCAGCUUCUAGUGUAGUAAUUUUUCUUGCUUUGGAGUUUGGAUGUCCACUAGCCAGAACCCCUUAAUCUAUCAAAUGGUUGACCUCGGAUCAGGUAGGGAUACCCGCUGAACUUAA
This 242-nucleotide unclassified non-coding RNA is filed under the name Peniophorella sp. RNAcentral describes it as "partial contains 5.8S ribosomal RNA, internal transcribed spacer 2, and large subunit ribosomal RNA". Lineage: Eukaryota; Fungi; Basidiomycota; Agaricomycetes; Hymenochaetales. The record is from RNAcentral.